ACACUCCUGCGGGAGGCAGCAGUGGGGAAUAUUGGACAAUGGGCGCAAGCCUGAUCCAGCCAUGCCGCGUGAGUGAUGAAGGCCCUAGGGUUGUAAAGCUCUUUCACCGGUGAAGAUAAUGACGGUAACCGGAGAAGAAGCCCCGGCUAACUUCGUGCCAGCAGCCGCGGUAAUACGAAGGGGGCUAGCGUUGUUCGGAUUUACUGGGCGUAAAGCGCACGUAGGCGGACUAUUAAGUCAGGGGUGAAAUCCCGGGGCUCAACCCCGGAACUGCCUUUGAUACUGGUAGUCUUGAGUUCGAGAGAGGUGAGUGGAAUUCCGAGUGUAGAGGUGAAAUUCGUAGAUAUUCGGAGGAACACCAGUGGCGAAGGCGGCUCACUGGCUCGAUACUGACGCUGAGGUGCGAAAGCGUGGGGAGCAAACAGGAUGAGAAACCCCUGUAGUCCCA
This 448-nucleotide ribosomal RNA is filed under the name uncultured organism. RNAcentral's name for it is "partial 16S ribosomal RNA". It matches the Rfam family "Bacterial small subunit ribosomal RNA", at positions 333 to 797 of the family's 1533-position model. The record is from RNAcentral.